This is an unclassified non-coding RNA of Macaca fascicularis (crab-eating macaque), 148 nucleotides long. It matches the Rfam family "Metazoan signal recognition particle RNA". Rfam says of the family: The signal recognition particle (SRP) is a universally conserved ribonucleoprotein. It is involved in the co-translational targeting of proteins to membranes. NCBI's taxonomy places the organism in Eukaryota, Metazoa, Chordata, Mammalia, Primates, Cercopithecidae. The record is from Ensembl.
GCUGGGCAUGGUGGUGCGUGCCUGUAAUCCCAGCUACUUGGGAGGCUGAGGCAGGAGAAUCGCUUGAAUCCAGGAGGUGGAGGUUGCAGUGAGCUGAGAUCGCACCACUGCAUUCCAGCCUGGGUGACACAGCGAGACUCCGUCUCAA